Molecule: ribosomal RNA, 1339 nt
Filed under: uncultured bacterium
Lineage: Bacteria
Description: bacterial SSU rRNA
Rfam family: Bacterial small subunit ribosomal RNA
Source: RNAcentral
GAUGAACGCUGGCGGCGCGCCUAACACAUGCAAGUCGAACGGUUAAGACGCACUUCGGUGCGUGCAUAGAGUGGCGAACGGCUGAGUAACACGUGGGCAACCUGCCCCCCGCACCGGGAUAGCCUCGCGAAAGCGUGAUUAAUACCGGGUACUCCGGCACCUCCGCAUGGCGGUGCCGGGAGAGCGUUAGCGGCGGGGGAUGGGCCCGCGGCCUGUUAGCUAGUUGGCGGGGCAACGGCCCACCAAGGCGAUUAUGGGUAGCCGGGUUGAGAGACCGACCGGCCAGAUUGGGACUGAGACACGGCCCAGACUCCUACGGGAGGCAGCAGUGGGGAAUCUUGCGCAAUGGGGGGAACCCUGACGCAGCGACGCCGCGUGCGGGACGAAGGCCCUAGGGUCGUAAACCGCUUUCAGCAGGGAAGAGGCCGCAAGGUGACGGUACCUGCAGAAGAAGCCCCGGCUAAAUACGUGCCAGCAGCCGCGGUAAUACGUAUGGGGCGAGCGUUAUCCGGAUUCAUUGGGCGUAAAGCGCGCGUAGGCGGCCUGGCAGGCCGGGAGUCAAAUCCGGGGGCUCAACCCCCGCCCGCUCCCGGAACCUCCGGGCUUGAGUCUGGCAGGGGAGGGUGGAAUACCCGGUGUAGCGGUGGAAUGCGCAGAUAUCGGGUAGAACACCGGUGGGCGAAGGCGGCCCUCUGGGCCACGACUGACGCUGAGGCGCGAAAGCUGGGGGAGCGAACAGGAUUAGAUACCCUGGUAGUCCCAGCCGUAAACGAUGGACGCUAGGUGUGGGGGGACGAUCCCCCCGUGCCGCAGCCAACGCACUAAGCGUCCCGCCUGGGGAGUACGGCCGCAAGGCUAAAACUCAAAGGAAUUGACGGGGGCCCGCACAAGCAGCGGAGCAUGUGGCUUAAUUCGAAGCAACGCGAAGAACCUUACCUGGGCUUGACAUUCAGGUGAAGCGGCGGAGACGCCGUGGCCGAGAGGAGCCUGAACAGGUGGUGCAUGGCUGUCGUCAGCUCGUGUCGUGAGAUGUUGGGUUAAGUCCCGCAACGAGCGCAACCCCCGCCGCGUGUUGCCAGCAGGUCAUGCUGGGCACCCGCGCGGGACCGCCGGCGUCAAGCCGGAGGAGGGUGGGGACGACGUCAAGUCAUCAUGCCCCUUAUGUCCAGGGCUGCACACGUGCUACAAUGGCCGGCACAACGGGCUGCGAACCCGCGAGGGCGAGCGAAUCCCUUAAAGCCGGCCCCAGUUCGGACCGGGGGCUGCAACCCGCCCCCGCGAAGUCGGAGUUGCUAGUAAUCGCGGAUCAGCACGCCGCGGUGAAUGCGUUCCCGGGCCU